UGCUCAUUUCAGCAGCAAUAGACUAAAUUUUGAAUAAUACAGAGAAGAUUAGCUUGGCCUUUGCACAAGGAUGACACACAAAGUCAUGAAGCAUUUUCUAAAUGU
Molecule: small nuclear RNA, 105 nt
Filed under: Peromyscus maniculatus bairdii (prairie deer mouse)
Lineage: Eukaryota; Metazoa; Chordata; Mammalia; Rodentia; Cricetidae
Source: RNAcentral